Molecule: transfer RNA, 69 nt
Filed under: Hemipyxis plagioderoides
Lineage: Eukaryota; Metazoa; Arthropoda; Insecta; Coleoptera; Chrysomelidae
Description: tRNA-Met
Rfam family: tRNA
About the family: Transfer RNA (tRNA) molecules are approximately 80 nucleotides in length.
Source: RNAcentral
AAAAGAUAAGCUAAAUAAAGCUAAUGGGUUCAUACCUCAUUUAUAAAGGUAUCAAUCCUUUUCUUUUUA